UCACCGCGACCCAGAGGGCACAGCUGGAGAGGGGCUGCCGGCAGGGGGAUGGGGGUCAGCUGUGCCCCGUAGACGCGUUGGCACCUGGGCGCAGCUGCCUCUCGGUCCUACCGCCAGACGAAGGCAACCCCGGCCCCCGGCGGAUGGGGACGUGGCAUGCCGCGCCGACAGCAGCGAGCUGGGGUCGUGGUCGCCUCCACCCCCGUGACUUUUGGCUUUGUUUCAGGGACUUCUGUAGUUAAAAACGGUCGGUUUGAAUCUCUGCAGGGCCGUUUGUCGUCCGAACAGCUCCAUAACCAGACGAAUUUCCGGGAAUCGGGCACGCACGCCUCCCUCGUGGCUCCUGGACAGCGCGACGGGUCCCCAGCCUGAGCGCGCAGCUACCGCGGGGUGGACAGUCCGUGCCUGUCCGUGCCCAGGAAUGCGACCGGAAGCUCAGAUGCAAACUAUUUGGGGCUGUGCAGUUCCCGAAUUUGGAAACGUUCUGGGAACUGGGCCAAGGCCUUGCAGCCAUCUGCCCAGCAGGUGCCUGGGACUGCAGUCCAGGGUUCCCAGGGCCCAGGCACGUGGCCCACCGCUGCUCACCUGACCUACACCUCUGCGGGCCAGAAGCAAGACUGACCAUGGGACCCCACGUUGGAAAGGUGCUGCUUUUCCCUUGAGAGAGAGAACAGGAAGAAGACAGAGAAGACUGCCCCCCAGCCUGCGAGGGCUCCCCAGGGGAGAAGGGAUCUUGAAACUGGGGCAGGAGGCCAAGAGAGAAGCUUUGCAAGAGAGAGAAAAGGCCCCUAGGGUCGACUUCAGCUCCAGGUGACUCCGGUUCUGACCCGGGCUCUGGCCCUUCCUCCACAGCACCCAGUGCCUUCUAAGAGGUGCAGGCCCACUGGGGCCUGGGGUUAAGAGUCUGCUCUGGGGCUACACCCCCUGCUGCCCCUCAGACCACCUGGAGUGUGUUGACCAGCUGCUCAGGCCCCACCCCGAUCAGGCUCUGGAUCAGUGGGCUGGGCGUGGGCCAGGGGAUCUGCAUUCCUCACAUGCACCCUGACCAGCACUUAGGCCGGGAUUUCCAGGUUCCUGGGUGUACUUCCUCCUCUCCCACCCACCGUCCUCUGUCCCCAGAGAAUCAGUGGUCUACAGCAGGGCUCUGCCUGGUUUUGAGCACAGCUCAGCUCA
Long non-coding RNA from Zalophus californianus (California sea lion), 1173 nucleotides. RefSeq lists it as uncharacterized. The transcript has 3 exons. The record is from RefSeq and is a predicted model, not a curated record. Lineage: Eukaryota; Metazoa; Chordata; Mammalia; Carnivora; Otariidae.